GCACCUUUGGUAUAUGUGGUAUUAUGACGGUCUCCAAAACCGUAGAACAGGGUUCGAGUCCUUGAGGGUGUG
RNAcentral lists this transfer RNA (72 nucleotides) under Caudoviricetes sp. RNAcentral describes it as "tRNA-Trp". It matches the Rfam family "tRNA". Rfam says of the family: Transfer RNA (tRNA) molecules are approximately 80 nucleotides in length. Their secondary structure includes four short double-helical elements and three loops (D, anti-codon, and T loops). Further hydrogen bonds mediate the characteristic L-shaped molecular structure. tRNAs have two regions of fundamental functional importance: the anti-codon, which is responsible for specific mRNA codon recognition, and the 3' end, to which the tRNAs corresponding amino acid is attached (by aminoacyl-tRNA synthetases). tRNAs cope with the degeneracy of the genetic code in two manners: having more than one tRNA (with a specific anti-codon) for a particular amino acid; and 'wobble' base-pairing, i.e. permitting non-standard base-pairing at the 3rd anti-codon position. The record is from RNAcentral. Lineage: Duplodnaviria; Heunggongvirae; Uroviricota; Caudoviricetes.